AUGACUGAAUAUGCUAGAGAAGAUGGAGAAAUGGGGGUGAAAUUAAGAGGCUUUUCACUGGGUAAAGCUGUCUUCAGCUCCAGUGGAAGUAGACCCUGCUGUGUGAAAGGCCUGACUGCAUUUCAGCUUGAUUAAAGGAGCAGCUGAAAGGAAACGUCCCCAACCUUUACUACCAGAAUGCAAGUCUAAAUGCUGGAUGCACAGAGCUGUUGGAAAGGAAUCAAAUUGCCAGUGGUCAAAUGACCAAGCUGGGGUAUGGAUGCACUUAUGACUUUAUAUAAAUUUCAUGAAAGGAGCAUCAGGGCAACACAAAGUUCUUUCCUACUCAGCAGACGGAAGUACGGUGAAUUUAUCAGCCCUUCUAAACAACAGAGGCCCACAAAUGUGAAAACCAG
This is a long non-coding RNA of Cygnus atratus (black swan), 395 nucleotides long. RefSeq lists it as uncharacterized. The transcript has 3 exons. The record is from RefSeq and is a predicted model, not a curated record. NCBI's taxonomy places the organism in Eukaryota, Metazoa, Chordata, Aves, Anseriformes, Anatidae.